Long non-coding RNA from Triplophysa dalaica, 1563 nucleotides. RefSeq lists it as uncharacterized. Lineage: Eukaryota; Metazoa; Chordata; Actinopteri; Cypriniformes; Nemacheilidae. The transcript is spliced from 6 exons. The record is from RefSeq and is a predicted model, not a curated record.
AGGAGUCAUGUCGUUUCCAAAGUAUGCUUCGUUUUAUUUCUCUGACUCUGAUAUCGUGAAAGUGGACUGCACCGAUAUCAUUUUAGGAGAGCACAGACUAUCGGAGUACGUGGUCGAUUCACGCGAGCAACUUCUAAGCGAAGAGGGAUAUGUAGAGAUGCGCCUGCCAAGUCGCAGCAGACAUGGACAGACCAAGACACUGCCAGCAAAAAUUAUACUUCUUAGUGAGAGACACUCAGGGUGGGGAUGAACGUGGACUGGAGUGGUCUAUGGAACAAACCUUUUUGCUUGCUGGGUAUUAACAUAACAUUUCAUGUCAUCAACAUUUCAAAUCUAAACAUACUUAAGCUUCAGUGGACAGUGACAACGAACAAGAUGGUGAUAAUGGAAGCAAGGAAUUUGAGAACAGUCUUUGCAGAACACACCUCCGCAGAACACCGUCAAGCUUGAUGGUGAUGUUGUCAAAGCUUUAAAAGAUUUAGCAACUCUAAUUUUUGGAAAAGAUAAACUAGCAAGAUGUACUCUUACUGGGAAAUCAGGAAACAUCAAAAGACCAAUUGGACCCUCACAAGGUCACAGUUCUUAUUGACACUGUGAUUAAACAGUUUCCGAACACAGCCAUGUCUGAGGUCCGAGCGCUCAUUCGCAGGAAAUGCAACAACGAGUCAAACUCAAAGAACGGUCGCUCUCCACUGGAAGGAUGAAGACAGUGACGUUUCAGAUGCCAGUUUGUUAAAAUAAAUUCAAUUUAUUGACUCCUGAGGUUCGUUCUCCCCGUGCCUCAGGGGUUUCCUCCGGGUACUCCGGUUUCCUCCCCUGGUCCAAAGACAUGCAUGUUUGGAUCCAGGAUCACUUGUGAAGACUUCCGAUGACACCAACACUCAUGAAGACUUCAGAUAAUGGCAAAUAUAGAUGGACAUACAAAACUACCAAAUAUGAUAUAUGUAAUCACUGCGAAAGUUGGCAGAUUUUCAACCCACUUUGUAUUGUUACAAUAUUGGCAAUAUAUGUGAACAGACAAUGUUUACUCUUUUCAGAGUUACUCACAUUUAUUUGUCAAAAAAACUGGUUAAUGUAUUCUGCAAACAUGUCCUAUAGUAAUGUUAUUUUUAAUUGAACAUGACUUGAAAUACAUGAAGUUUUGUUGCCAGAAGAUGUUUCUCAGUGAGUCAUAGCACCCUCGGCCUGAUUAACUUCUGAUUGAUUGUAACAUUGAAACAUGUAUUUUCUGUAAAGCUUCUUUGAAAUUGUUUACAUUUUAAAAAUGGCUAAACCCUUAAGACAGUUAACCUAGGAUUUCCUGUGGUAAAACCAUCAUGUCAUGUUGCCAUAAAAUCUAACUAAACUAAACUAACUAAAACAAAACUAAGGUUUUGAUAUAAAGGUUCUGCUAUAGUAAUAUUAUAGGAAUGCAGGAGUGCUGUGGUAGCCGAUAGUUUUUGAAAACCACGGGAACAGUUUAUAAUAUGGAUUACUACCAUGCAAAUAAGACCAUGGUUAUUUUUGGAUUUACUGUGGUUUUACUACAAUUAUCAAAGUUAUUAUUGGUUUAUUUUAUUUUUA